UACGAAGGGGGCUAGCGUUGUUCGGAAUUACUGGGCGUAAAGCGCACGUAGGCGGACAUUUAAGUCAGGGGUGAAAUCCCAGAGCUCAACUCUGGAACUGCCUUUGAUACUGGGUGUCUUGAGUAUGGAAGAGGUGAGUGGAAUUCUGAGUGUAGAGGUGAAAUUCGUAGAUAUUCGGAGGAACACCAGUGGCGAAGGCGGCUCACUGGUCCAUUACUGACGCUGAGGUGCGAAAGCGUGGGGAGCAAACAGG
This 253-nucleotide ribosomal RNA is filed under the name uncultured bacterium. Its description in RNAcentral is "partial 16S ribosomal RNA". It matches the Rfam family "Bacterial small subunit ribosomal RNA", at positions 524 to 776 of the family's 1533-position model. The record is from RNAcentral.